Molecule: ribosomal RNA, 354 nt
Filed under: uncultured bacterium
Lineage: Bacteria
Description: bacterial SSU rRNA
Rfam family: Bacterial small subunit ribosomal RNA
Source: RNAcentral
GGUGUUGCAUGGCUGUCGUCAGCUCGUGCCGUGAGAUGUUGGGUUAAGUCCCGCAACGAGCGCAACCCUCAUCCUUAGUUACCAUCAGGUAAUGCUGGGGACUUUAAGGAAACUGCCAGUGAUAAACUGAAGGAAGGUGGGGAUGAUGUCAAGUCAUCAUGGCCCUUAUGGAGUGGGCUACACACGUGCUACAAUGGUGGCUACAAUGGGCUGCAAAGUCGCGAGGCUAAGCUAAUCCCUUAAAAGCCAUCUCAGUUCGGAUUGUACUCUGCAACUCGAGUGCAUGAAGUUGGAAUCGCUAGUAAUCGUGGAUCAGCACGCCACGGUGAAUACGUUCCCGGGUCUUGUACACAC